CCUACGGGUGGCAGCAGUGAGGAAUAUUGGUCAAUGGGCGAGAGCCUGAACCAGCCAAGUCGCGUGAAGGAUGACGGCCCUACGGGUUGUAAACUUCUUUUGUCAGGGAGCAAUUGGGUCCACGCGUGGGCUUAGCGAGAGUACCUGAAGAAAAAGCAUCGGCUAACUCCGUGCCAGCAGCCGCGGUAAUACGGAGGAUGCGAGCGUUAUCCGGAUUUAGUGGGUUUAAGGGGUGCGUAGGCGGAAUAUCAAGUCAGCGGGAAAAAUUCGGGGCUCAACCCCGUCGUGCCGUUGAAACUGGUGUUCUUGAGUGGGCGAGAAGUAUGCGGAAUGCGUGGUGUAGCGGUGAAAUGCAUAGAUAUCACGCAGAACUCCGAUUGCGAAGGCAGCAUUCCGGCGCCCAACUGACGCUGAAGCACGAAAGCGUGGGUAUCGAACAGGAUUAGAUACCCCUGUAGUC
RNAcentral lists this ribosomal RNA (460 nucleotides) under uncultured bacterium. RNAcentral's name for it is "partial 16S ribosomal RNA". It matches the Rfam family "Bacterial small subunit ribosomal RNA", at positions 338 to 795 of the family's 1533-position model. The record is from RNAcentral.